GAAGCAGCUGAAGCGGCGGUAGCGGCGGCGGCUCGGGCAGAGGGGCGGGAGCUGAGGCGGGAGCGAACAGGCUGGUGGGCGAGCGAGAGGCGGCGGAAUGGUGGACUACCACGCGGCGAACCAGUCGUACCAGUACGGCCCCAGCAGCGCGGGCAAUGGCGCUGGCGGCGGGGGCAGCAUGGGCGACUACAUGGCCCAGGAGGACGACUGGGACCGGGACCUGCUGCUGGACCCGGCCUGGGAGAAGCAGCAGCGCAAGACCUUCACGGCGUGGUGCAACUCCCACCUGCGGAAGGCAGGCACACAGAUCGAGAACAUUGAUGAGGACUUCCGAGACGGGCUCAAGCUCAUGCUGCUCCUGGAGGUCAUAUCAGGGGAGCGGUUACCUAAGCCGGAGCGGGGGAAGAUGAGAGUGCACAAAAUCAACAAUGUGAACAAAGCGCUGGACUUUAUUGCCAGCAAAGGUGUCAAGCUGGUCUCCAUCGGGGCAGAAGAGAUUGUGGACGGCAACGCAAAGAUGACCCUGGGAAUGAUCUGGACCAUCAUCCUUAGGUUCGCCAUCCAGGACAUCUCCGUGGAAGAGACCUCGGCCAAGGAAGGGCUCCUUCUCUGGUGCCAGAGAAAAACAGCCCCGUAUAAGAACGUCAAUGUGCAGAACUUCCACAUCAGCUGGAAGGAUGGUCUUGCCUUCAAUGCCCUGAUCCACCGGCACAGACCAGAGCUGAUUGAGUAUGACAAGCUGAGGAAGGACGACCCUGUCACCAACCUGAACAAUGCCUUCGAAGUGGCUGAGAAAUACCUCGACAUCCCCAAGAUGCUGGAUGCAGAGGACAUCGUGAACACGGCCCGGCCCGACGAGAAGGCCAUAAUGACCUAUGUGUCCAGCUUCUACCAUGCCUUUUCAGGAGCGCAGAAGGCUGAAACUGCCGCCAACCGGAUCUGUAAGGUGCUGGCUGUCAACCAAGAGAACGAGCACCUGAUGGAGGACUACGAGAAGCUGGCCAGCGACCUCCUGGAGUGGAUCCGGCGCACCAUCCCCUGGCUGGAGGACCGUGUGCCCCAAAAGACUAUCCAGGAGAUGCAGCAGAAGCUGGAGGACUUCCGCGACUACCGGCGUGUGCACAAGCCGCCCAAGGUGCAGGAGAAGUGCCAGCUGGAGAUCAACUUCAACACGCUGCAGACCAAGCUGCGCCUCAGCAACCGGCCCGCCUUCAUGCCCUCCGAGGGCAAGAUGGUCUCGGACAUCAACAAUGGCUGGCAGCACUUGGAGCAGGCUGAGAAGGGCUACGAGGAGUGGCUGCUGAAUGAGAUCCGCAGGCUGGAGCGGCUCGACCACCUGGCAGAGAAGUUCCGGCAGAAGGCCUCCAUCCACGAGGCCUGGACUGACGGGAAGGAAGCCAUGCUGAAGCACCGGGACUACGAGACGGCCACACUAUCGGACAUCAAAGCCCUCAUUCGCAAGCACGAGGCCUUCGAGAGCGACCUGGCUGCGCACCAGGACCGCGUGGAGCAGAUCGCCGCCAUUGCCCAGGAGCUCAAGUACGUGCGGGCUCAGUACACUAUCAUCACCUGGCUCUCACCACAGCCUGCCCAGACUGGUGGCGGCAGCACGCCGAGGCCCAGCCUGCCUCAAGGCCUGGAAUAGGGUCCCCAGUGCCCCAACUGCACCUCCUUCCAGAAGCCAGGGAAGGGCCUUAUGGGAUGAGGCCUUUUGCCCAUCCUAUCUCAG
RNAcentral lists this small RNA (1729 nucleotides) under Pan troglodytes (chimpanzee). RNAcentral's name for it is "retained intron". The record is from RNAcentral. Lineage: Eukaryota; Metazoa; Chordata; Mammalia; Primates; Hominidae.